Molecule: long non-coding RNA, 500 nt
Filed under: Setaria viridis
Lineage: Eukaryota; Viridiplantae; Streptophyta; Magnoliopsida; Poales; Poaceae
Description: long non-coding RNA (SVIR_LNC008669)
Source: RNAcentral
AGCUCGACAAAGUUCCAGCAUCCAGCAAAAUGUAGAGGUAGUGGAAGAGGGGAGGAUGAGAAUUCAAAGAGAUGGGAAAAACUGCGAUGGUGUGUUUGGGAAUGAGCAUUAGUUGCUUGAGGGGGUAAAGGGUGAGUACCACGUGCAAUCCAUGUUUGCAAUUCAACUCUUUCUCCAUCAGUGAGCUUAUAGGAAGCUCUGUGGAAGGAAGAUGUGGAAAUCCGAGUCAGGAACGUGCUUCUUGAGCACAUCGAUCCUGGAAACGCCAAAUUGAAGAAGCAUAAGUAUCGUAUGUGCUGAUCUUACUAAUCCCGCUAAUUCUCAAGCAUGUGCUAGUACUAAUAUGCAAGCCAAGGUUAAGGCUAGCCAAAUGGUUUUUAAUUAGUUUCCGUUCCAUCCACAAACAUAACUGCCUUGCACUUGGUUCCAUUAUUCUUUGAGGAGAUAGUGCUAUAAGUUAUACUAAGUUUUGUAAACCAAACUUAAAAUUGUUUUUUUGU